Molecule: long non-coding RNA, 562 nt
Organism: Micropterus dolomieu (smallmouth bass)
Lineage: Eukaryota; Metazoa; Chordata; Actinopteri; Centrarchiformes; Centrarchidae
Exons: 3
Source: RefSeq, a predicted model, not a curated record
CCGGGCUGCCACCACAACAGAUCCCAGAGUUUUCUGACCUUCUAGCUUUAGGUAUUUCUCACAUGUUGUUGUCCUUGUCAGGAAGACAACAAUAGACUGAUUAGGUAAAGACAGUAGCCCGGGCAUCAGGCUAACAGAUAUCAGUGUUCUCUGGGAGCCACACUGACCCAGGGGCAGUUUUAUAUUUCUGUCUAUUAUAGCAGUGGUGGGCUGAGGCUGUGUGAUGAAGUCUGGGUGGCUGGAUGUGGGCAGCAGGUGCUUAACCAGGUCUGGAGUAGAACGAUCAGAAUCACAAAGAUGGAGAGCAAGCAUCUUUCUCCAACGAGGUUCUUCGUGAUUCUGAUGACUUCACAAGAGGUGUUGCACAGUCCAGAGCAGCAGGUUUCCUGGGAUACUGUAAGGUAACAGGAAGAGGUGCUUCCACAGUGGCUGGUAUAAACAGGAUCCAUGGCUUCCAGCCAAGACUCUGCCUACUGUUAGAUUACCUCAUAUCACAGUAAAUACUUAUUUUCAGGUAAGGUGUGUUUGGUUUAUGUUACAAUUUUUUUUAGAAAAAGAAGCU